Molecule: ribosomal RNA, 305 nt
Filed under: uncultured bacterium
Lineage: Bacteria
Description: bacterial SSU rRNA
Rfam family: Bacterial small subunit ribosomal RNA
Source: RNAcentral
CCUACGGGACGCAGCAGUGGGGAAUAUUGCACAAUGGGGGAAACCCUGAUGCAGCGACGCCGCGUGAGUGAAGAAGUAUUUCGGUAUGUAAAGCUCUAUCAGCAGGGAAGAAGCAGACGGUACCUGACUAAGAAGCCCCGGCUAACUACGUGCCAGCAGCCGCGGUAAUACGUAGGGGGCAAGCGUUAUCCGGAUUUACUGGGUGUAAAGGGAGCGUAGACGGCUAAGCAAGUCUGAAGUGAAAGCCCGGGGCUUAACCCCGGGACUGCUUUGGAAACUGUUAAGCUAGAGUGCUGGAGAGGUAA